Molecule: long non-coding RNA, 424 nt
Organism: Nerophis ophidion (straightnose pipefish)
Lineage: Eukaryota; Metazoa; Chordata; Actinopteri; Syngnathiformes; Syngnathidae
Exons: 4
Source: RefSeq, a predicted model, not a curated record
CCUGUACAAACAGGAAGCAGGAAGUACAUCAGCCAUGUGGUAACACUCAAAUGAUUACUGGACAAGAGUGAAAGAACACAUUAAAUCAAUUAUCUUUAAUAUGCACGGAUAAAGACAAAACAAUGAAGACUCUAUUACUGAUCUUAUCUGCCCUCGGCUUGGCGGCGCGCCAUCCACUGCAGGCUGUGUGCAUUGGCUGGAACACAUGCACUCCAAAACUCACACACUGACAGCCUGCAAGCGCCGUAAAAUUCCAGGCAGAGUCAAGCCAGGGCCUGACAUGCCUGAAAUCAAGAAAUGAUUUCCGCAUGAAUAAACUGCAGCUUCUGAAACAGGUUCGGGCGAGCUACGUCAAUCGUGUGCACGAGGAAAGAUGCAAUCGCCAGCGGAAGUGGAUAUUUCAUCACAACAUCCGGUUUCGGUG